UGGUAGUAGGACGCACAGCGAUAGCCUCAGUAACGGCGAGUGAAGCGGCUACAGCUCAAAUUUGAAAUCUGGCCUCCUUUGGGGGUCCGAGUUGUAAUUUGCAGAGGAUGCUUUGGCAUUGGCGGCGGUCUAAGUUCCUUGGAACAGGACAUCGCAGAGGGUGAGAAUCCCGUACGUGGGCGCCUGCCUUUGCCGUGUAAAGCUCCUUCGACGAGUCGAGUUGUUUGGGAAUGCAGCUCUAAAUGGGAGGUAAAUUUCUCCUAAAGCUAAAUACCGGCCAGAGACCGAUAGCGCACAAGUAGAGUGAUCGAAAGAUGAAAAGUACUUUGGAAAGAGAGUCAAAUAGCACGUGAAAUUGUUGAAAGGGAAGCGCUUGCAGCCAGACUUGCCCGCAGUUGCUCACCUAGGCUUUCGCCUGGGGCACUCUUCUGCGGGCAGGCCAGCAUCAGUUUGGGCGGUCGGAUAAAGGCCUCUGUCAUGUACCACCCCUCGGGGUGGCCUUAUAGGGGAGGCGUAAUGCGACCAGCCCGGACUGAGGUCCGCGCAUCUGCUAGGAUGCUGGCGUAAUGGCUGUAAGCGGCCCGUCUUGAAACACGGACCAAGGAGUCUAACAUCUAUGCGAGUGUUUGGGUGUCAAGCCCGGGCGCGCAAUGAAAGUGAACGGAGGUGGGAACCCUUCGGGGUGCACCAUCGACCGAUCCUGAAGUCUUCGGAUGGAUUUGAGUAAGAGCAUAGCUGUUGGGACCCGAAAGAUGGUGAACUAUGCUUGAAUAGGGUGAAGCCAGAGGAAACUCUGGUGGAGGCUCGCAGCGGUUCUGACGUGCAAAUCGAUCGUCAAAUUUGGGCAUAGGGGCGAAAGACUAAUCGAACCAUCUAGUAGCUGGUUCCUGCCGAAGUUCCCUCAGGAUAGCAGUAACGUUUUCAGUUUUAUGAGGUAAAGCGAAUGAUAAAAGGCCUGGGGGUUGAACAAC
Molecule: ribosomal RNA, 971 nt
Filed under: Pseudopithomyces chartarum
Lineage: Eukaryota; Fungi; Ascomycota; Dothideomycetes; Pleosporales; Didymosphaeriaceae
Description: partial large subunit ribosomal RNA
Rfam family: Eukaryotic large subunit ribosomal RNA
Source: RNAcentral